This 620-nucleotide long non-coding RNA is filed under the name Equus asinus (donkey). RNAcentral's name for it is "lncRNA (ENSEASG00005031275.1)". Lineage: Eukaryota; Metazoa; Chordata; Mammalia; Perissodactyla; Equidae. The record is from RNAcentral.
UGCCUCUGCUCCCUAUUCUGACUAAAGCUUCCCAUCACUAUUUCCUUGAAGGUCCUACCUCUAUUUGUUUUUCCACCUCGAAUGAGACAGGAAUGCCAGAACAAGCUGGAGUGACAGAAAAAUCUCCUCCCCAAAGCUGGGAUAAGAAGGCUCUGGUGAAGUCUAUUCUGGAAGGAAGGUGUUUGUUAUGCAGAAGGCUCCAGCAUAUUUCACAGUGACUAUUCUGCCUCUUCUCUGCCAGGCUCACAGAAAUAAGUUGCACUGGACUAAUAAUUCUUAAAACUGAGUUCUUAAGAUAAUGAAUGGAUGAGACUAUAUAUAAGGACCAUAGCUGAAUAAAUGGAGAAACAAUAAGGCAGUAAGUUGCCUGUGGAGGAAAGCAAACUAAGUCAUUGGACUAUAGUCUUCUAGGAAGAAACAAAAUGAUUCAACGGAAAUCAAAUGAUGACAAGGGUGAAGAUGACAACCAUAUAGAUGAAAAGAGGAUAGUAUUACAUGGAGAAGGAUGCCUCUUUAAGUGCUAGAAGUCCAAGGAAGAUCAGGAUUACAUUGCAGUGUUCGGGUGAAAAUGAAAGUGGAGUAUCCCCUCUUUCUGGAUAAUGCUCACAAACUGUUUCACA